CGGGUGACCGUGAGGAUAGUGCCACAGAAACAUACCGCCGAUGGCCCCCAGGGCACAGGUAAGGGUGCAAGGGUGCGGUAAGAGCGCACCAGCAGCAUCGAGAGGUGCUGGCUCGGUAAACCCCGGUCGGGAGCAAGGUCGUAGGGGCCAAGGUUGGUCUUUUUCCAGCCCCGUGAUUGGGUACCGCAGGAGGCGGCUGGUAACAGUCGUCCCAGAUAGAUAACCACCCUCCUGGCCGCAGGAGAACAGAACCCGGCUUACCACUAACUCCUUCC
This 275-nucleotide RNase P RNA is filed under the name Leptolyngbyaceae cyanobacterium M65_K2018_010. Its description in RNAcentral is "Bacterial RNase P class A". It matches the Rfam family "Bacterial RNase P class A", at positions 91 to 367 of the family's 367-position model. From Rfam's summary of the family: Ribonuclease P (RNase P) is a ubiquitous endoribonuclease, found in archaea, bacteria and eukarya as well as chloroplasts and mitochondria. Its best characterised activity is the generation of mature 5'-ends of tRNAs by cleaving the 5'-leader elements of precursor-tRNAs. Lineage: Bacteria; Bacillati; Cyanobacteriota; Cyanophyceae; Leptolyngbyales; Leptolyngbyaceae. The record is from Rfam by way of RNAcentral.